Molecule: ribosomal RNA, 497 nt
Filed under: uncultured bacterium
Lineage: Bacteria
Description: partial 16S ribosomal RNA
Rfam family: Bacterial small subunit ribosomal RNA
Source: RNAcentral
GAUGAACGCUGGCGGCGUGCCUAAUACAUGCAAGUCGAGCGAACGGACGAGAAGCUUGCUUCUCUGAUGUUAGCGGCGGACGGGUGAGUAACACGUGGAUAACCUACCUAUAAGACUGGGAUAACUUCGGGAAACCGGAGCUAAUACCGGCUAAUAUUUUGAACCGCAUGGUUCAAAAGUGAAAGACGGUCUUGCUGUCACUUAUAGAUGGAUCCGCGCUGCAUUAGCUAGUUGGUAAGGUAACGGCUUACCAAGGCAACGAUGCAUAGCCGACCUGAGAGGGUGAUCGGCCACACUGGAACUGAGACACGGUCCAGACUCCUACGGGAGGCAGCAGUAGGGAAUCUUGCGCAAUGGGCGAAAGCCUGACGGAGCAACGCCGCGUGAGUGAUGAAGGUCUUCGGAUCGUAAAACUCUGUUAUUAGGGAAGAACAUAUGUGUAAGUAACUGUGCACAUCUUGACGGUACCUAAUCAGAAAGCCACGGCUAACUACGUG